RNAcentral lists this transfer RNA (77 nucleotides) under Anaeroplasma bactoclasticum. Its description in RNAcentral is "tRNA-Arg". It matches the Rfam family "tRNA". Rfam says of the family: Transfer RNA (tRNA) molecules are approximately 80 nucleotides in length. Their secondary structure includes four short double-helical elements and three loops (D, anti-codon, and T loops). Further hydrogen bonds mediate the characteristic L-shaped molecular structure. tRNAs have two regions of fundamental functional importance: the anti-codon, which is responsible for specific mRNA codon recognition, and the 3' end, to which the tRNAs corresponding amino acid is attached (by aminoacyl-tRNA synthetases). tRNAs cope with the degeneracy of the genetic code in two manners: having more than one tRNA (with a specific anti-codon) for a particular amino acid; and 'wobble' base-pairing, i.e. permitting non-standard base-pairing at the 3rd anti-codon position. Lineage: Bacteria; Bacillati; Mycoplasmatota; Mollicutes; Anaeroplasmatales; Anaeroplasmataceae. The record is from RNAcentral. RNAcentral also lists the same sequence under 2 other names.
GCAGAUAUAGCUCAGCUGUACAGAGCGUCCCCCUCCUAAGGGGAAGGUCGAAGGUUAGAAUCCUUUUAUCUGCGCCA